RNAcentral lists this unclassified non-coding RNA (324 nucleotides) under uncultured fungus. Its description in RNAcentral is "sequence contains ITS1". The record is from RNAcentral. Lineage: Eukaryota; Fungi.
GUAUUUUUAUUUAGUCAAUGGUUUUUGAAGCCAUCAUCAAAAUUGAUCAGACAUUGUAUAAUUUAGAGUUUAAUUUGGGGGUCUUCUGGCGAAGAAAGGGAAGAAAUGGAUUUUGAUGAAUCAAAGUCUAUUUCCUCUUUUUCUUUGACUCGCCGAAGCAACAAAUUUGUUUUUGUAUAGACAAGGGUUGGGAAUUUUCUCAGGUAUUUCUACCAUAUGAAAAUAUCUCUUUUAAUGAUCCUUCCGCAGGUUCACCUAUAAUAAUGUUAGUAAAAUGUCUUUUUUUAAAGUUAAGUAAGGGAGGAUGUUACUGACCUACGGAAA